RNAcentral lists this ribosomal RNA (447 nucleotides) under uncultured bacterium. Its description in RNAcentral is "bacterial SSU rRNA". It matches the Rfam family "Bacterial small subunit ribosomal RNA", at positions 355 to 825 of the family's 1533-position model. The record is from RNAcentral.
UCGGGAAUUUUGGGCAAUGGGCGAAAGCCUGACCCAGCAACGCCGCGUGAAGGAUGAAGUAUUUCGGUAUGUAAACUUCGAAAGAAUAGGAAGAAUAAAUGACGGUACUAUUUAUAAGGUCCGGCUAACUACGUGCCAGCAGCCGCGGUAAUACGUAGGGACCAAGCGUUAAUCGGAGUGACUGGGCGUAAAGGGCAUGUAGGCGGUUAUAUUAGUCUGAUGUAAAAGACCCGGGCUUAACCUGGGAUAUGCAUUGGAAACGGUAUAGCUAGAGUAUGGGAGAGGGAAGUGGAAUUUCCGGUGUAGCGGUGAAAUGCGUAGAGAUCGGAAAGAACACUCGUGGCGAAGGCGGCUUUCUGGCCCAUAACUGACGCUGAGGUGCGAAAGCAUGGGGAGCAAACAGGAUUAGAUACCCCCGUAGUCCCUGAGCGGGCUGGCAAGGCGCAU